RNAcentral lists this long non-coding RNA (491 nucleotides) under Mustela putorius furo (domestic ferret). RNAcentral's name for it is "lncRNA (ENSMPUG00000027468.1)". Lineage: Eukaryota; Metazoa; Chordata; Mammalia; Carnivora; Mustelidae. The record is from RNAcentral.
CUUUAGAGCUUUGUUAUUGCUUAUAAAGCUUCUCUUUCUAAACUUUUUCGUAGGAUAAAAACAUUUCUCCAUGGGGGCUCUCUAAGAGUUUACAGGAGAUGUUCAAAUGUAUCGUCCAUGUGGGCAGCUCUGAUUCACUGCUCUGUGUGUGGCAUUGUGGAUAUUGAUAGACGGAAACGUGCUGUGCCCUUUAUUACUGCCUGCAUUUCCCCCGUAUCCUGCCACUAGCGUGCUUGCUGCCCCCUUCUUUGCCAGCCCUCUAAUGCUGGAUUGAACUUCAGUACCAACGCCUGAAACAGGUGUCCUGGCUGGGGUUUUUGGUUGCAGGAAACGGAAUCCAUCAGAGCUACUUCACACACAUUUAUUAAAGGAAGUAUUUUAUAGAAUUAGGAGAAUUUGAAGAUAUCAGCUGUAGGUGAAGCUUGACACCUUCCAGACCAUGUAACAGAAUGAGGCUGCCAGGGAGCUCCUGUCUUGACCAUGACCAGGAU